RNAcentral lists this long non-coding RNA (684 nucleotides) under Nicotiana benthamiana. RNAcentral describes it as "long non-coding RNA (NBEN_LNC010783)". The record is from RNAcentral. Lineage: Eukaryota; Viridiplantae; Streptophyta; Magnoliopsida; Solanales; Solanaceae.
UGGAGAACAAGGGAAGACAGUUCAAGAACAAAGGGAAAGCAAUUCGAGUUAUAACAAAAAUUUCAAGGGAAAGCAACAAGGUUCAAAGGAAAACAGUUUGAAUAUUGGAAAUCAGGUGCCUACUUGGAGAUAAAGAGAAUUCACUUCAGAACACAAUUCAAGUUAGCAACAAAAGAAGCUCACGGCAAGAAUGCGAGUCAACAGUCUGAGAUUAUCAACAGAAGUUAGUCACAACAAAGAAAAAGAAAAAAUGAAAGGCAAGAAGUUAAUCCAAAUGCAGAAGUUAAUGAAAGGUGUGGGAUGCUCAAGACAUGGCCAAGGUGACAAGCACUGCAUGCCUGGCCCCGAUCCGGAAAGCCAAAGAAGGAUGAACUAGCCCCUGCAGCUAACAAGCGCCAAUGUUCAAAUCUAAAAUCUGCAUGAAGAACCAUUCAAGACUCAAGAUCAAGCUUCAGAAGACUUAUAGAUAGGAAUAUUGUAACUCGUAGUUGACAGGCUUAGCUAGUCUUUUUCAUCUUUCGACUUUUGAUGUAAUAAUAGGACCGCAGACCAGAUCCUCGGACGAAACCUCACUCGAAUCUCAGCCUCGGUACUCCAUCUCCUCAUUCACUUCAAAACUACACCUGACCUGAUUCCUUUAUAGCCAAGGAUAUAUAGGCAACAUUUGAAGUAAUGUUCGGUCAG